Molecule: non-coding RNA, 177 nt
Filed under: Gammaproteobacteria bacterium
Lineage: Bacteria; Pseudomonadati; Pseudomonadota; Gammaproteobacteria
Description: 6S RNA
Rfam family: 6S / SsrS RNA
About the family: E. coli 6S RNA was the first non coding RNA to be sequenced, but its function was unknown until recently. It consists of 184 nucleotides that fold into an extended hairpin structure with a large single-stranded internal bulge.
Source: RNAcentral
UCGUAACUGAUGUGCACGAUACAAUUAUUAUAUCUUUGUUCCUAAUUUUAAAAUAGGGAUUGAGUAGCUAGAGCUAGUGCGCAUGCCUAGAGAUAGGAAGCCUUAAGUAAUAGACUCAAGCCCACCUGAACUCAAUGGUUCAAGGGAAAAUUAUUGCAACGGCACAUCGGUUUUCAU